UGAAAUUGUCAUAAUUUAUAAUAAUGCUUGCCAGAAUGCUGUUUAAAAAUUCCUAUGGAUGCUAUAAACGAGCCAAAAUAAAAAAUAAAAAAGGAAAAUAGACAUACAGAUUAUAUUUUGUUGUUUGUUAAGAAAGAGAGAAGGAAUGGUGCAGAUCUAUUUCAAGGCUGACAAAUAAAAAACUUUUUAUUUUCAUAAUUUUUUUGUUUAUUUUUCUAUAAUAAUAAAAAUAUUGGAUCUUCUCUUCUUUGUGUGUGUUUGUCCAAUAUAUUUAUAAUUCUUUUUUUUUUAAUUUGUUGAGUUAAAAUGUCAACUACUAUGGAAGAAAAUAAUAA
RNAcentral lists this unclassified non-coding RNA (335 nucleotides) under Hevea brasiliensis (rubber tree). Lineage: Eukaryota; Viridiplantae; Streptophyta; Magnoliopsida; Malpighiales; Euphorbiaceae. The record is from RNAcentral.